This 25-nucleotide transfer RNA is filed under the name Atherinosoma elongatum. RNAcentral describes it as "partial tRNA-Pro". Lineage: Eukaryota; Metazoa; Chordata; Actinopteri; Atheriniformes; Atherinidae. The record is from RNAcentral.
GGAUUCUAAAUUAAAGUAUUCUUCG